This 346-nucleotide long non-coding RNA is filed under the name Manihot esculenta (cassava). Its description in RNAcentral is "long non-coding RNA (MESC_LNC010400)". Lineage: Eukaryota; Viridiplantae; Streptophyta; Magnoliopsida; Malpighiales; Euphorbiaceae. The record is from RNAcentral.
UUCAAUAUUCCCCUCGAGAGCCAGGUCCAGCCUGCUCAGUCACAGGGCCGGACUCCGCCUAGACUCCUCAAUCAAACCGGCCCAAACCUCUCGGCCCAGUAAUCAGGCCCUCACCAGGCUCAACUUCAGCCCUACCAUUCAACCCAGCCCGGAAAGGGAAAAAUGACCAAGAUGCCCCGCUGGUAGGUCCUUCCGCAUGCGUAUCAGAGGAGAAUCAUACGUAUCAGAGGAGAAUUAAUGGCCGUUACGCAUGGAGCAGGCGCCUGACACACCCGUACAUACGGAGCUAGGCAACAGAAGACAGCUAGCAUUGUGGCAAAGAGACAGAUAUAUAUAUCACGGUAGA